AUUGAAGCAAGUGCGACUUCAUCUGCAGUCGGGCUCUGAUCGCCAACCUCGCCUUCUUUUCUAGUUUUGAGUUCUCUGCUCGCACAUCUCACUGGCGCCAUCUUCACGCUUCUGAUCCUCGUUGCCCUCUCAGCCCCGAUUUGCAGUCUUUGGUCACCGAUUCGGUACUAGUCUCUCUCUCUCUCUCCUCAACUGUGUUUAUUGCUUUCAUCUGGUUGGAUGUAGAAGUAGGGGAGAUGAUUUGACAGUGCUAGAUGGAUAUUAUAUGUGAAUACUCUGGGCUUCUAAAUCUGAUUGUACUUUGAGAUGGUGAUUUGAGGAUAUAUAUAUAUAUAUAUAUAUAUGGGUGCUAUUAUUGUGAUGGUGAUUUUCUAUCCAUGCUUUGGCUCCAAUUAUAGAGGAUUUGAUAAUUUCUUUGUUGAUUCGGUCACCUCUCUCACUUGAAUUAUGAAAUUUCUCUAUGGUCUGGGUUGUUGUGCUCCAAUUCGCCAGUUUUCCAGUUUUUCUUUUCAUAUCAAGGUUUGUUUGCCGUCAACCAAAAGAAAAAGGUGAUGAUGCAGUUUAUAUUUUCUUUUUGUGUGUGGACCGGUGAAUGUGGCUUGAUAAUUUGGAUUAUGGAUUGGUUCUCUAGCUCUACUGUGAAGUACAUGUCUGAAUUUGGUGAAGUAGUUUCUGAUUACUCUGAUAUUUGGACGUUGCUGCAUUCAAUUGAAAUUUGCCUCAGACAUUCUGCAAUAUUCUAUUCUAGUAAUAUGUGCUUCAUCUGUCAAUGGUUGCUUUAGUAUCACUCACUGAUAUCUAGAUUGAGCAUCAACAGCUUCCGACUUGUGCUUUGGCUUAUCAAUUUCUCAUGCACCCACCUCAGUGAGCAUUAGAUUCUUCAGCAGAAUUGGUAAUAUCCUCCCAAUUUUUCCACCCUAUCAUUGGAUUUGUGGAAUUGAUUUCUGGUUUAAUUUGCUAUGUCAUCAUCAGUUUGUCAUUUUCCUUUUAUAUCAAAGUUUGUGUCUGCCAUCAACCAAAGAAAAGGUGAUGAAGCAGUUUUAUAUUUUCAUUUUGGUCUGGUGAAUUGGCUUGGCAAGUUGGAGUACAAAUUGGUUGUAUGGCUCUAUGUGCUGGAUGUGUUGAGUUUGGAGGAGGUUUCCAUAUUUGAUGAGGAAUUUGAAAUUUGCUAUGGAAUUUGUUGUGCCUACUGUUUCUAGUGUGGUUACAUUGCUGCUGAUAUGGUGUUUGGAUGAAUCCCCUAGUAGAGAUGAG
Molecule: long non-coding RNA, 1254 nt
Filed under: Fragaria vesca (wild strawberry)
Lineage: Eukaryota; Viridiplantae; Streptophyta; Magnoliopsida; Rosales; Rosaceae
Description: long non-coding RNA (FVES_LNC003256)
Source: RNAcentral